This 389-nucleotide unclassified non-coding RNA is filed under the name soil metagenome. RNAcentral describes it as "partial contains 5.8S ribosomal RNA, internal transcribed spacer 2, and large subunit ribosomal RNA". The stretch from base 1 to 120 matches the Rfam family "5.8S ribosomal RNA", at positions 35 to 154 of the family's 154-position model. The record is from RNAcentral.
GAUGAAGAACGCAUCGAAAUGCGAUAAGUAAUGUGAAUUGCAGAAUUCAGUGAAUCAUCGAAUCUUUGAACGCACCUUGCGCUCCUUGGUAUUCCGAGGAGCAUGCCUGUUUGAGUGUCAUUAAAUUCUCAACCUUAUUGGCUUUUGCUGAUAAUGGCUUGGACUUGGGGGUCUUUUUGCUGGCUUUCAUUAGUCUGCUCCCCUUAAAUGUAUUAGCCGGUGCCCCGCAGUGGAACCGUCUAUUGGUGUGAUAAUUAUCUACGCCGUGGACGUCUGCUAUAAUGGGUUUGCGCUGCUUCUAACCGUCUCUCGGGACAACACAAAUGACAAUUUGACCUCAAAUCAGGUAGGACUACCCGCUGAACUUAAGCAUAUCAAUAAGCGGAGGA